UGGGGAAUAUUGGACAAUGGGCGCAAGCCUGAUCCAGCCAUGCCGCGUGAGUGAUGAAGGUCUUAGGAUUGUAAAGCUCUUUCACCGGAGAAGAUAAUGACGGUAUCCGGAGAAGAAGCCCCGGCUAACUUCGUGCCAGCAGCCGCGGUAAUACGAGGGGGCUAGCGUUGUUCGGAAUUACUGGGCGUAAAGCGCACGUAGGCGGAUAUUUAAGUCAGGGGUGAAAUCCCAGAGCUCAACUCUGGAACUGCCUUUGAUACUGGGUAUCUAGAGUAUGGAAGAGGUGAGUGGAAUUCCGAGUGUAGAGGUGAAAUUCGUAGAUAUUCGGAGGAACACCAGUGGCGAAGGCGGCUCACUGGUCCAUUACUGACGCUGAGGUGCGAAAGCGUGGGGAGCAAACA
RNAcentral lists this ribosomal RNA (401 nucleotides) under uncultured prokaryote. RNAcentral's name for it is "bacterial SSU rRNA". It matches the Rfam family "Bacterial small subunit ribosomal RNA", at positions 355 to 774 of the family's 1533-position model. The record is from RNAcentral.